AACUUCAUUCACAAUGUGAAAGUUAAGGUGUUUUAAUGUAAAAUCCUUCUCUACACAUUGAAAACAUGAAGCCUGGAAAGUGAAAAGCUGCUGCCUGCAGGUAAAUAAUGAGGAAAGCACAAAGCCUACAGAUGUGUCCAGAUGUUGCUGACUCAGUCAGUAGAUGGCAGCAUUGCCUUGUAAAUGACAGUGUUUGUGUAUGAAUCUAAAACAGUUGUGAUGAUCUGUAAAUGUGCUGUUGGACCUCAGUCCAUUUCAAUUGUUUGUAUUCAUUUAAAUUCCUAACUUGUUGUCUACAUUAACACAGGUAGGAGCUUCAUGUACAGAUGCACAUACAUGUAUUACACUUAGAGCUUAUUGAAACAAGAGUUCAUGGUUGUGACAGUAGAACAGACUCCCUCACAGCCUGCAUGAUACACAGCUAAAGGACAAUCAGUCCCUGGUCAUGGUACAUAUGUUUGGUAGGUCUGGUCAUGGUACAGGUGUUUGGUAGGUCUGGUCAUGGUACAGGUGUUUGGUAGGUCUGGUCAUGGUGCAGGUGUUUGGUAGGUCUGGUCAUGGUGCAGGUGUUUGGUAGGUCUGGUCAUGGUGCAGGUGUUUGGUAGAUCUGGUCAUGGUGCAGGUGUUUGGUAGGUCUGGUCGUGGUGCAGGUGUUUGGUAGAUCUGGUCAUGGUGCAGGUGUUUGGUAGAUCUGGUCAUGGUGCAGGUGUUUGGUAGAUCUGGUCAUGGUGCAUGUGUUUGGUAGAUCUGGUCAUGGUGCAGGUGUUUGGUAGAUCUGGUCAUGGUGCAGGUGUUUGGUAGAUCUGGUCAUGGUACAGGUGUUUGGUAGAUCUGGUCAUGGUGCAGGUGUUUGGUAGGUCUGGUCAUUGUGCAGAUGUUUGGUAGAUCUGGUCAUGGUGCAGGUGUUUGGUGGGUCUGGUCAUGGUGCAGGUGUUUGGUAGGACUGGUCGUGGUGCAGGUGUUUGGUAGAUCUGGUCAUGGUGCAGGUGUUUGGUAGAUCUGGUCAUGGUGCAGGUGUUUGGUAGGUCUGGUCAUGGUGCAGGUGUUUGGUAGGUCUGGUCAUGGUGCAGGUGUUUGGUAGGUCUGGUCAUGGUGCAGGUGUUUGGUAGGUCUGGUCAUGGUGCAGGUGUUUGGUAGAUAUGGUCAUGGUGAAGGGGGUUUGGUAGGUCUGGUCAUGGUGCAGGUGUUUGGUAGAUCUGGUCAUUGUGCAGGUGUUUGGUAGGUCUGGUCAUUGUGCAGGUGUUUGGUAGGUCUGGUCAUGGUGCAGAUGUUUGGUAGAUCUGGUCAUGGUGCAGGUGUUUGGUAGGUCUGGUCAUUGUGCAGGUGUUUGGUAGAUAUGGUCAUGGUGCAGGUGUUUGGUAGAUCUGGUCAUUGUGCAGGUGUUUGGUAGAUCUGGUCAUUGUGCAGGUGUUUGGUAGGUCUGGUCAUUGUGCAGGUGUUUGGUAGGUCUGGUCAUUGUGCAGGUGUUUGGUAGGUCUGGUCAUGGUGCAGGUGUUUGGUAGGUCUGGUCAUGGUGCAGGUGUUUGUUAGAUCUGGUCAUUGUGCAGGUGUUUGGUAGGUCUGGUCAUUGUGCAGGUAUUUGGUAGGUCUGGUCAUGGUGCAGGUGUUUGGUAGAUCUGGUCAUGGUGCAGGUGUUUGGUAGAUCUGGUCAUGGUGCAGGUGUUUGGUAGAUGUGGUCAUGGUGCAGGUGUUUGGUAGUUCUGGUCAUGGUGCAGGUGUUUGGUAGAUCUGGUCAUGGUGCAGGUGUUUGGUAGGUCUGGUCAUGGUGCUGGUCAUGGUGCAGGUGUUUGGUAGAUGUGGUCAUGGUGCAGGUGUUUGGUAGUUCUGGUCAUGGUGCAGGUGUUUGGUAGAUCUGGUCAUGGUGCAGG
Molecule: long non-coding RNA, 1868 nt
Organism: Austrofundulus limnaeus
Lineage: Eukaryota; Metazoa; Chordata; Actinopteri; Cyprinodontiformes; Rivulidae
Exons: 4
Source: RefSeq, a predicted model, not a curated record